Molecule: ribosomal RNA, 460 nt
Filed under: uncultured bacterium
Lineage: Bacteria
Description: partial 16S ribosomal RNA
Rfam family: Bacterial small subunit ribosomal RNA
Source: RNAcentral
CCUACGGGAGGCAGCAGUGAGGAAUAUUGGUCAAUGGACGGGAGCCUGAACCAGCCAAGUCGCGUGAGGGAAGACGGUCCUAUGGAUUGUAAACCUCUUUAGGCGGGGAGCAAUGCCGUGCACGCGUGCCCGGAGGGAGAGUACCCGCAGAAUAAGCAUCGGCUAACCCCGUGCCAGCAGCCGCGGUAAUACGGAGGAUGCGAGCGUUAUCCGGAUUUUUUGGGUUUAAAGGGUGCGUAGGCGGAUUUUUAAGUCAGCGGUAAAAUGUCCGGGCUCAACCCGGGCCGGCCGUUGAAACUGGGGAUCUUGAGUGGGCGAGAAGUAUGCGGAAUGCGUGGUGUAGCGGUGAAAUGCAUAGAUAUCACGCAGAACUCCGAUUGCGAAGGCAGCAUACCGGCGCCCGACUGACGCUGAGGCACGAAAGCGUGGGGAUCGAACAGGAUUAGAUACCCCUGUAGUC